RNAcentral lists this ribosomal RNA (433 nucleotides) under uncultured bacterium. Its description in RNAcentral is "partial 16S ribosomal RNA". It matches the Rfam family "Bacterial small subunit ribosomal RNA", at positions 29 to 507 of the family's 1533-position model. The record is from RNAcentral.
AACGAACGCUGGCGGCAUGCCUAACACAUGCAAGUCGAACGAGACCUUCGGGUCUAGUGGCGCACGGGUGCGUAACGCGUGGGAACCUGCCCUUAGGUUCGGAAUAACUCCCCGAAAGGGGUGCUAAUACCGGAUAAUGUCUUCGGACCAAAGAUUUAUCGCCUUUGGAUGGGCCCGCGUUGGAUUAGCUAGUUGGUAGGGUAAAAGCCUACCAAGGCGACGAUCCAUAGCUGGUCUGAGAGGAUGAUCAGCCACACUGGGACUGAGACACGGCCCAGACUCCUACGGGAGGCAGCAGUGGGGAAUAUUGGACUAUGGGCGAAAGCCUGAUCCAGCAAUGCCGCGUGAGUGAUGAAGGCCUUAGGGUUGUAAAGCUCUUUUACCCGGGAUGAUAAUGACAGUACCGGGAGUAUAAGCUCCGGCUAACUCCGUG